UCAUGUAGUUGCACUUCUUUACCAGACUGCACACUACUCCCAACUCCAGCUGCCAACUGUUCCUCCUGCACAAGUGAUUUACAAAGAUGGCACAGACCAAGAACACAGGGGAAACAACCUGAACUUGUCAGCAAAGUGGUGGUGAGGAAGCCCAAAACUAUGGGGGAAAGAUAUCUGCACUCCACAUUUUACAGAGCUUACACAGGAGCACUUCCAGAUCCCGACAUUCUGGCAUCAGGAGAACAACUACGCCAGCUGGAGUCCCAACCACUUAUGGCUCUUGUACUAGAUGGUCUUUCAAAUUUGGAGCUGGUUCCAUCCAAACUUGGGCCUGUGCCACAGGGCUCACCAAUGUUUUAUCAAUGCCCACCUGAGAAGUCAUCUGGUAGCAUCAUUUUGCACCACAUGGCUCCAGACUUCCCUUCUCGUCCUUUGAUGCUUCAUAGUCUUCCGAAUAUGUGUUUUGUGCCCAAACUCGGUCAACUUAUGCAUCUUCAGUCUCUGCAAGUGUCACUGGAAAUGUCUUAUGAAAUAGAGGCCAGAACAAGAGAGUUUAAGU
Long non-coding RNA from Xiphophorus couchianus (Monterrey platyfish), 559 nucleotides. RefSeq lists it as uncharacterized. The transcript is spliced from 3 exons. Lineage: Eukaryota; Metazoa; Chordata; Actinopteri; Cyprinodontiformes; Poeciliidae. The record is from RefSeq and is a predicted model, not a curated record.